CAUUUCUCAAUGGUGUCCUCAUUCUGGCGCUUCCUUCCUGAAGUACGUCUACGUUCUCUUCCGUACGUCGUUCCAAUGAAUUUGUAUCCGGCGGACGCGUACUGCGUGAUGGUGGGAGGGUAGCCAACCGAAGCAAAACGUCCUCUCUCGUUCGGUUGACGAGGACUGUACGGCCGUCUGCCAUACACUAAUCUGUCGCUUUUCUCCUCAUUUUCGAUGCAUUUUAUCCUUCUGGAGUGGGGGCUUCUAAUCCAAAACUUCG
Caenorhabditis elegans is the source of this 262-nucleotide non-coding RNA. NCBI's taxonomy places the organism in Eukaryota, Metazoa, Nematoda, Chromadorea, Rhabditida, Rhabditidae. The record is from Ensembl.